Molecule: long non-coding RNA, 495 nt
Filed under: Homo sapiens (human)
Lineage: Eukaryota; Metazoa; Chordata; Mammalia; Primates; Hominidae
Description: non-protein coding lnc-BEND7-3:2
Source: RNAcentral
AGUUCAGCACUCCACGCAGAUGGCUACCGCUCCCUCCUGAGCGCUCGCUCCUCUCGCUCCUCUCCCCUCACCCGCCGCCUUCCCUGCUGGGUCCCUCUCCCCGGUCUCCACCUCUCCUCCCUCUCCUGGAAGGGAAAAGUCUGCCAAGCUGGGGACUGCCACGACCAAACCAACAAAGGCCGACCGAAGGCGGAGAACUUGAAAAGAACUUGUUUUGUUCCAAUAUUCCAAUGGAGACAGUUGGAAAACCUGUACUUCAGAGAAAAGAAGUUUUCCGUGGAAGUUCAUGACCCACGCAGGGCUUCAGUGACAAGGAGGACGUUUGGGCACAGCGGCAUUGCAGUGCACACGUGGUAUGCAUGUCCGGCAUUGAUCAAGUCCAUCUGGGCUAUGGCCAUAAGCCAACACCAGUUCUAUCUGGACAGAAAGCAGAGUAAGUCCAAAAUCCAUGCAGCACGCAGCCUGAGUGAGAUCGCCAUCGACCUGACCGAGACG